RNAcentral lists this transfer RNA (73 nucleotides) under bacterium. Its description in RNAcentral is "tRNA-Lys". It matches the Rfam family "tRNA". Rfam says of the family: Transfer RNA (tRNA) molecules are approximately 80 nucleotides in length. The record is from RNAcentral. RNAcentral also lists the same sequence under 1 other name.
GCCUCCGUAACUCAAUUGGUAGAGUAGCGGCCUUUUAAGCCGAUGGUUGGAGGUUCGAGUCCUCCCGGAGGCA